GGAAGGAUUUUCUCUUUUUCCGUUCAUGAUUCGAUAUUCUGGUGUCCUAAAAAACAAGUAAGCGUAAUUCCCCCUAAACAAUAAAAUAUAUUCACAUGGCGUUAAUCCUUUUUUUUUAAUAUAGUAUAGAUAGAACUUUUCCGAGAAGGUUUUAUUGAAAACGUUAUCUUUUGAAUACAGGGUUCCAAUUUUCAGAAUUUCUCAGGCAAAAUUUUGUCGACUGUUUUGUUGAAAUGAUCAUAUGCAUCGCAAUGGGCUUUCAGGGAGAGGUAGCCACUCUUCAUCGUCUUUGGAAUUGAAAUCAAAUGUCAAAAGAAUAGCGCAGUAAACAAUCACAAGUAUAUAAUCAUAUUAUUCAGAAAUAAAAAAUGAAGUAAAAUUCUACUGACACAGACUCUCCAUUAUUGGAAUGAAAUAACAAAGAAUUGAUUAUCUAAAUUGAAAGAAUCCCAGAACCCGACUCAAAUCGAAGUUUUUUUUCACAUAUCUAUUAUAAGUAACAGUGGCAGGAAAUAAGAUUGUUAGAUCUCUAAAAGUUGAAAUUAAUCAACUUAUAACAGAGAUAAUCUUGUUCCAACAGGGAAGUAAGACACUGGAAUUGCUGCACUUUUCGCCUUCUUCUUUGUUUUCUGCUCUUGCACUUUGGAUAGGGUACUACUAACUUCUUGUUCGCAUGCUGCAACCCGCUUUGAAUCCAAAAAGCAAACAAAAACAUUCGAAAAGAAGGCCAUGAUUAUUUCCCAGAUGAGUUAAGAGGUUCAAGAAAUAUGAAGAUUGUUAACCAGGAAUAUCAAUUAGUGCUUGUCUUUCAAGUUUGUGUAGAUUUCUUGGAUUCUUUCCCCAUUUAUAGACACAAAACAAGCACGUUUUCUUGAUUCCCAUGGCCUGCAAAUUAAUGGGAAAUUGGUCGAGAAGCUUCUUCUUGCAAUUCCUGGAAGCUUUGCGAUUGGCUGAUUCUGGACCGAUUAUGUCACUUACAGGAACCACGAGUAAUUACUGUAGCCUAAAUAGCGACAAGUGAAGGGGUUUCGAAAUUACAAUAUUUGUGCUGUAAGACUAUUCAAGAAUGGCUUCAAGUAACACGUUAUGCCAAUGACCAUAAGAAAUAUGGGGACAAUAUUCGUCAUAC
Molecule: long non-coding RNA, 1129 nt
Filed under: Olea europaea subsp. europaea
Lineage: Eukaryota; Viridiplantae; Streptophyta; Magnoliopsida; Lamiales; Oleaceae
Source: RNAcentral